UCCAGAUGACUUGAAUUGAUAAACUGGUGUUCUGUGGGGUACAACGGUCACCGUGAUAUUAGAGUUCUGAUGGAA
This is a small nucleolar RNA of Otolemur garnettii (small-eared galago), 75 nucleotides long. Its record names the gene SNORD28. It matches the Rfam family "Small nucleolar RNA SNORD28". From Rfam's summary of the family: U28 is a member of the C/D class of snoRNA which contain the C (UGAUGA) and D (CUGA) box motifs. U28 is encoded within the U22 snoRNA host gene (UHG) in mammals and is thought to act as a 2'-O-ribose methylation guide for ribosomal RNA. The record is from Ensembl. NCBI's taxonomy places the organism in Eukaryota, Metazoa, Chordata, Mammalia, Primates, Galagidae.